Molecule: RNA transcript, 1155 nt
Organism: Solanum stenotomum
Lineage: Eukaryota; Viridiplantae; Streptophyta; Magnoliopsida; Solanales; Solanaceae
Gene name: probable ADP-ribosylation factor GTPase-activating protein AGD15
Exons: 9
Source: RefSeq, a predicted model, not a curated record
UUUUUUUUCUCUCUCGUUUUUUUUUUCUUUCUUGUUGCUUAGGCCUUGUUGUUCUUUUUUUGUAACAAAUUAAUCAGCAGCCAUGAACGACAAGGCUUCCGUUUCUAAGGAGCUUAAUGCCAAACAUGCUAAGAUAUUGGAGGGCCUUCUUAAGCUUCCAGAAAAUAGGGAAUGUGCAGAUUGUCGGGGAAGGGCCCCGAGGUGGGCGAGCAUCAACCUUGGAAUAUUCAUCUGCCUGCAAUGUUCAGGAAUUCAUAGGAGUCUUGGGGUACAUAUCUCCAAGGUAAGGUCGACAACUUUGGACACAUGGCUGCCGGAGCAGAUUUCUUUUAUGCAAUGUGUAGGUAAUGAGAAGUCGAACAAUUAUUGGGAGGCAGAUCUAUCAGCAAGUGUAGAUAGAAGCGACAUUGGGAAAUUCAUCCGAACCAAGUAUCAGGAUAAAAAAUGGGCUUCGAGAUAUAAUCCUCAACCAGGACUAUCUGAUAUGAUUGGUGAAACAAGUGAUUUCGGAGGAAAAGCUGAUGUUCCAAGAAAAGCAAGAAAAUAUUCCUUGGAGGAGGAUGUUUUUAGUAUACAACCUCCACAAGUUCCUACAACGACAAGAUCUCGUGGGGUUUCUUUGGACACGAUGGAUGAAUUUCUUAAUUUACCUCCAAAAAAUGGUCUCAUGAGUGCUCCAUCCGUGAAGCACAAAGAAGAUACGCAAGAUCUCUUCAGUUUGCUCUAUGCCCCAGAAGGAAACCAAGAUCGCACUAUUGUGCCUCCAUCUCGUUGGGCAACUUUCGAGUGAGCUGAUGAGACCAAGAGAAGAACCAGUUGGGAGUUAUAUUGAAGCACUUUUGCAUUGGAUUAGAGUUCAUGGAUGAUACAAACAAAUAGAAAUGCACUUCAACAUGAUGUGCCUCUUUUUCUUGUGAGAAUACUUAUUGGGAUUGUUAUUUGGGCUGAUUAGUCUCUAUCCAUUGUUAUUAGUUUUCAUGGGCCAAGCAACUUGUAUAGUGUUAAUACUAGUUGCUUCCAAUAUGAUUAAUUAAAGAGUUGGCAACUGGAUUCUAUCACUUGUGUCUUAAAGAACUAAUGUAUGGUUCAUUAUUUUUUUUCUUGUAUAGAAAGUGAUUUAAUUUCCUUCAUAUAAUACUACAAUUUGUUUUGAUC